UCGUGCUAGAUGGGGAAUUAGCGGAGCCCUGUACCUGCAAUCCGCUAGAGCAGGAUUGAAUUCCUUACUUAGGGAUAGGAUUUCAUCUCUCUAGUAGGUUUGAUUAUGUUGAUGUUUGGGCCUCACGCGACAGAGCCCCACGAACCCCGCCAGGUCCGGAAGGAAGCAACGGUAAGUGGACCGCUUUGGGUGCCGUGAGAACACUCAGACUGAGUGAUGAAAUCUGUUAUGAAUGGUUAUUGAGUUACGAAGUGAGGUGCACGA
This 264-nucleotide signal recognition particle RNA is filed under the name SAR202 cluster bacterium. Its description in RNAcentral is "signal recognition particle sRNA large type". It matches the Rfam family "Bacterial large signal recognition particle RNA". Rfam says of the family: The signal recognition particle (SRP) is a universally conserved ribonucleoprotein involved in the co-translational targeting of proteins to membranes. Archaeal SRP consists of a 7S RNA and homologues of the eukaryotic SRP19 and SRP54 proteins. The record is from RNAcentral. Lineage: Bacteria; Bacillati; Chloroflexota; Dehalococcoidia.